RNAcentral lists this ribosomal RNA (465 nucleotides) under uncultured bacterium. Its description in RNAcentral is "partial 16S ribosomal RNA". It matches the Rfam family "Bacterial small subunit ribosomal RNA", at positions 28 to 507 of the family's 1533-position model. The record is from RNAcentral.
GACGAACGCUGGCGGCGUGCUUAACACAUGCAAGUCGAACGGAAAGGCCCUGCUUGCAGGGUACUCGAGUGGCGAACGGGUGAGUAACACGUGGGUGAUCUGCCCUGCACUUCGGGAUAAGCCUGGGAAACUGGGUCUAAUACCGGAUAGGAGCCAUUUUUAGUGUGAUGGUUGGAAAGUUUUUUCGGUGUAGGAUGAGCUCGCGGCCUAUCAGCUUGUUGGUGGGGUAAUGGCCUACCAAGGCGGCGACGGGUAGCCGGCCUGAGGGGGUGGACGGCCACAUUGGGACUUGGGUACGGCCCAGGCGCCCACGGGAGGCCGCAGGGGGGAAUAUUGCACAAUGGGGGCGAGCCUGGUGCAGCGAAGCCGCGUGGGGGAUGACGGGCUUCGGGUUGUAAACUCCUUUCGCUAGGGACGAAGCUUUUUGUGACGGUACCUAGAUAAGAAGCACCGGCUAACUACGUG